GGAGACCUCCUGACUGCAACAAAUAAAGCACCAGGUCAAGUAAUUUCACACCGGAGCGACAAAAUGAGCUGUGAGCUUUUCAGGUUUUAAUGAAAGCAGUGUUUCGGUGCACAGGAUAAAGAUGAAACAGGUCUCUGCUUGCACUGUUGUGUAAACUCUGCCGUCUUUAAAACCACGCUCCCGCACCUGUCGUUCAGGUGUCUCCUUUUUCAUGUAUGUUUGUUGCUUUACGUGCUCCACGAGUCAGUUUAUGUGUCAGUUCGCGUUAGUCAUGGUCCAUUUUGCGAGUGACUCAAAGGUAUUGUUUCAAUAGUUGCUUCAUUCCUCAGGGUGUGUGGGUGUGUGUGUAAAGUAUUUUGGAUUUGACAAUGCCCUCCGUGUGGGUGUGUGUACAUCAGAAAGCAUCUUGUAAAUUCUUUAUUUGUGAGUUCAGCGAUUUGAAACAGAAAUAGAUGUGGACAUGGAGUCCCAGAACUAUGAUCACACCAAUUUCACUUUAUUGGUAAAACAUCUUUCUGUGCAAUGUGUAAACAGGAAAGGGUUCGGUGCAGGAUGAAGAGAAAGAGGGGAAACUUGCUGUUUGGAAUUCCCAAAUUCAUUUCCACGCCUAUAUUUUGCUGUAAUUCAGCAAUCAUGGAACAGUCUGUCUCCACAAACCUAAACACGCAGCAUCACGAAGAAGAAGGAGCGAUCAUCAAGGGGAAAUUCAGUAGAAAUUUCUGGAAAAGCAUCAAUCAGAAUUUGUUUAUACAUUAUUUGGCACAACAAUGACUCAUUUUUAUUUGUGUAUAAUUUUGCAAGCUGUAUUAACCCCCUCCACACUGUAAUAUUAUGGGCUGUUUCAGCGGCAUCAAACAAUGAAUGAAUUUAUCUUAUAUGUUCUUUCCACUAUUUCUUAUCCAAAACACUCAUGAAGAAUAAAACGAAAUAGGAAUAAAAUGCUGUGGUGGUGUGAUGCGGCCUGGCGUUGGAGUUGUUGAGUUCCUGUUACCACCCUGAAGUUGUUUCUUUUCGUUAAACAUCAGGUCUUACAACAUCAGGUGUGUUAUUUCUCUCAUAACACAUUAAUUUGAACAUGUUACAUUUUCUAACCAAUUAUAUUUACAUUUUAUUUUGUGGAACUUCUGUGGAAUGACCACCAAACUAGUAUAUGAAAUCAAAUUUGUGACAAACUUAUUGAAACAACAAAAAAUAACUUUACCCAGAAACUAGAAACUCCUCUGUCCUGAAAACUUACUGUUACAAGGCACUGACACUAGAGAUUCCUUUCAUUAAUGACAUAUAAACAUCUCCUUAAUAUCAAAGGUUAUGCAUUUUCCUUUGCUGCACGUUUUGUAGUCUGUUGAUUUACUAUUCUUAGACUCAGACUAUUGUACAGCAUACGCAGUUUAACUCCUUGUCAAGUAGUUAUUACUAUAGAAACGAUAACUUCUUAGCAUUAAUGUUAACCUGUCUCCUUCCUUUUGCAUGUGUGUAAAACCUGAUGGUUUGUCUCUACCCCUCUAUUGAAGUUUUUCACGAGUUAUUUUGAAGCAAAAUAGACUUCAUGCAGACUCUUAUGUUUAAAACAACACUAAUAAAUUAAAUGUU
Molecule: long non-coding RNA, 1590 nt
Organism: Ictalurus punctatus (channel catfish)
Lineage: Eukaryota; Metazoa; Chordata; Actinopteri; Siluriformes; Ictaluridae
Source: Ensembl